Molecule: long non-coding RNA, 305 nt
Organism: Galleria mellonella (greater wax moth)
Lineage: Eukaryota; Metazoa; Arthropoda; Insecta; Lepidoptera; Pyralidae
Exons: 2
Source: RefSeq, a predicted model, not a curated record
UAUAUACAAAUGGUUCAAGUUCAACCUUAACUGUGAUCGGCAUACCACAGUGCUAAAUAAUAUGGAAGGUUGCGAAAUUUCUGGCAGUAAUAGUGUUGGUCAAGCUUCGAGUGCUGGCAGUCACACACUGGGGGCAAACGAGCAUGCGGCUCACCUGAUGGCAAGUGAUUACCGCCGCCCAUGAUCACCCACAACACCAGCGGCAUUGCAGGUGUGCUGCCGGCCUUUUAAAAAGGAAUAUACUCUUUUCUUUAAGGUUAUGUUGUCUUCUUCUUCGCAUUAAAUCCUUAGUAUUUUCUCAUUUA